AAUAGCAUCCCAGGGAAACCAGUGGCCCUGACUUGGAAAGCAAACCUCUCUGCAGCCACGGGACCCCCAACAGCAGCCUCACAGAGCCUGCCCCGGCCACCCUAGUCUGGGCUAACUGUCCUGCCUUCUCCUCCAAGAUUCCCUUGCCUGGGUCCCUCCUCCCUCAGCCUCACCGCACUCCUCUGGGGACCCUGUGCUUGGACUCCACCCUUUCCUGUCCAGACCACUGGCCUUUAGUCACCUCCUAGAGAAGCAAGAUUUUCAGCCCUGGCUUUCUACCCCCACACCCUACAGCCGGCCAGGGGACAGGGUUGUGUUCACACAGUGCUAAGGGAACACGCUGACGUGUGUGACAUCAAGAACUCCAGUGCCCACACAGCCCGAGUCCGGAUGGGACGUUUGAAAUCAGCAAGGAGUGUGGGUUGGAUCCACGUUUCUGUUCAUACCAGGCAGGCACAUCGGAAGGCUCACGGUCAGAGGAUGCUGGGACAAACGCCACGAGAGGUUCCUUUUUGUCUGGCUCACCCAGAAGAGAGGCUCCUCUCCUCCCUUCCCUGCAGCACAACGGCCUGGCUGGCACCCAAAGGGCAGCCGGCAUGGGCUGACCUCAGAGGAGCAAGGCGUGUUUGCAGCUCUGCCGCUCACAUCCACAGUGGCCAUGACAACAGGUGCAGCACCAUCCAUUAAAGCUCUGUGUCAUUUCACUUAAUUCUCACAACGACCCCCGGAGAAAGGGACUACUAUCCCCAUUUUCCAGAUGAAAAAGGAAAUUGGUCCUUAGAGUGAUCAUCCGCCCAAGGCUAGUGACAGGGCUCAGAUGAGAACCCAAGGCCCUCCAAGAUCUCAAGUCACAGACAAAGAAAGCCCAUCUCUGACUUGGCAGGGGAAGGGGGAGGUCACACUGGGAGAGCUGGAUGUUGAUUCUGAAGGCCUCCCCCAGUAAACCGCUCCAACAACAAAAAGGGGCUUUCUGUACAUUAUCUGUGAAAAGCCAAGUGAGGGGGAGGGAGGGGAAAGCAAUCAAAGCAAAGAUCAAUUGUGUUGCAGACAAUGUGGCAAGAAGACAGAUCUUGCUGGAAAUUCCUUCUGACUGGACUCUGCCAGGAUCAGAGUAUUUUUCAUUCCAAGAUUAAGCAAAAUUCUUUCCCUGUCAUAACCUCCUACCCAUCUAUGUCCAAACUCCCACUAUCAUUUUUAUACCGUGCACAUUUUAAAACCUGUUUUGCAGCUUUUUCUCUGUGCGUGUUAGUUGACGCUAACCUGCCUCCAGCUUUAAGAAGAACAGAGAAGCACGAGAGGCCCCAGGAGGCACCUGGGCUGGGUGAGCCUCAGGCUGGGACCCUGGCAGGACAGUGGCUGGGGUCUAGGGCAGCUGGGACCCUGCUUGCUGGCAGGGGCAGCUGCAGCCGUGAAGCUCAGAGACCCCACGGCCUGGCCUGGACAGAAAUGGAAAAUAGAUGGGAGAAGAGAAUGGGAAUUUCUUAAUAAGGGAUUGGAUUUGGGAAGUGAAGGGCGAGCAGAAACUAGGAUUGUGAGGUCUCCUGGUUGGGGUGGCUGUGUGGUGGUGCCAUGUCGGUGGGAGAGAGAAGCCAGUCACUGGGUGGUGGAAAUGGUGGUGAAGAGGUGUUUGGUGGAUGGGAGGAAGCAGGGUAGGGUCCAAGCCUGUUCAAUGAGAGGGGUCAACAGCACACACAAGGGAAGGAGCCCAGUCUGGAGUAACGGAUUUGUGGGAGAGAAGUCUCCCGUUGGAGGGGGGAGACUGAAGCCAUGGGAAUGGGUGAGUUCCACCCAGAGACAGACCCAGGAAGAGAGCCCAGGAAGAGAAGGAAGCCAAGGGCAGGGUUCCAGGGGCUGCUGACUUUCAGGGCAAGCCAGCAAAGAAGAUUGGGAACCAAACAGUUAGGAACAUAAGAGGGACCGGAGAUGUAGCAUCAUGGAAACCAUGGCAACAAGAGCAGGCAGCAGCACUGAACGUCACCAGCGGAGACUGCCGUGAGAUGGAACCAAAGUCCUUGACUUGGCAACAGGGACUUCUCAGAACAGUUUCAGUGGCCUGUAUGGGUGUUAGGAGGGGAGGAAGGAGCCAAGUGACCCGGGAAAGUAUUUUUUGUGCAUUUUCCUACUGACUUCUUAGCCUUGGGAAACAGGAGCUGUUGCCACUUGUGUUUUACCAAGGAGGAGGUGGAGGCUGGUGGGGAUCAAGUAACUUGCAGCAGGUCACAUGCUGGGAAGGGAGGGCUGGGCCUCCAACCCCAUCUGCCCAUCGUCAAGGUGCACGGCCUUCUUAGGAGGAAGGGAGGCAUCGCUGCGUAGGAGGAGGCCUUUGCAGAUGUUAGUUGGAGAGAGAAGGCCAAGAACAUCCACCGUGGGGUGGGAGAUGAGAUGCUCCACCGAGCAGGCUGAGGGCCCAGCCAUGGCUGGAAACCCAGCCCCUUGGCAAGGUUGACACUGCCAUUGUCCCACCAUCCUUGGCAGGGAUGACUGAGUGGCUACAGCCUCCCAGAGGGCCCAAGUCUUCCGGACGCUGCAUCUCUCUCUCGCUGUACAGCUCAGCUGGGUGAUGGCGGCUGCUCAUGAUGAGUCAGGGCAUCACGGGGACUCUGCACAAGAUGCUAACCGAGCUCUGCCUCUUGGGCCUGCGAAGCUGACUACGAACCACGUCUUUAGCACAAAUGUGGCCAGUUCAGUACAAACUUGUCCCAGAUGGAAAGAUGGGCUCAAAACGCAACCUUUCUGACAACAGAUGGCCUUCCAGCGGGCUGGGGCUGUGCGCAUGUGUCUCUGCCUGACAAUGGUCCCUGUGAAGCCAGACUUCCUUGGGGGGGGCCAAUGCCUUUCAUUCUCAGGGGGAGCGGAGGAGCCUGGAGGAGCCAGGGUGGGCUUCUGCAGCACCCUUAGCAUGAGGGAGGCACAUGCAACACCCAGGUGCCCAGAGGCCCUCACAGCCCAGAAGGAGCGAGUGAGUGAGGCUCCUGCAUGUGGAACGAAGCUCAGCACCGCACUGGACACAACCAAAUGGCCAGUGAGGGCCUCGGAUUUCAAUCAGACCGUCAGAGGCACCCAGUGCUGGAAGGCCAAGUGUGGAAGAGAGUGGCUAGCAGUGGGUGGUGACAGCUGAGCUUUGGGAGAAAGUGCUGGGGAGAGGGCACCCCAGAAUCACUUUGGAAAGCAGGGAGCAUCGUGCUGGGUGGAACACGCUGUAGAGAUGUCUCCAACAGGCCUCGAGGCUGGCCUGGCCCCUGCAGCCUCAUUUUUUCCUGGUGUUUGCUGCUCUCCAGGCAGUACUCUUCCCCCCCCGCGCUCUCCCUGUGAGUGAGGAGUGGCCUCUAAGGGCCCUUCCCUGGCCUGUCUGGCUCCCAUCACUUCAAACACUGGCCCGCGAGCCCAGUACUUGCACAUUUGGAAAUGUAAGUGCCCAGAAUAAACCUGCAGAGACGCUAUUCAAACAGCAAGGCCGAAAUCAACAGAUUCAACUUGAAAUGUAAAACGCCAAAAGCAAAUGUCUAAGCAGCUUUAUUUGUUCUGGAAAUAUUGCUGCAGUGGUUUGACCGGCAAAAUCAAGUGUCCUGUUAAUAGUGAACAGGCUCCUGGCUAACACGGUGAAACCUCGUCUCUACUAAAAAUACAAAAACUUAGCCGGGAGUGGUGGCAUGUGCCUGUAGUCCCUGCUACUCAGGAGGCUGAGGCAGGAGAAUAGUUUGAACCUGGGAGGCGGAGGUUGCAGUGAGCCGAGAUCACGCCACUGAACUGUAGCCUGGGUGACAGAGCGAGACUCCGUCUCAAAAAAAAAAAAAAAAUAGUGAACAGGCAAGCAGGAUGGGCAGGGGGCAUAGGAGGGCUGUUCUGCUGAAGCUGGGUGGUCCAACUUCCAGCUGGUGCAGUACUGCCUCCUGCAGAGAUGUCCUAUCCUGGGAGCUCACACAGGAAAGGAGAGGCUGUGAGUCCUGGGCCCAUCCCCACCCUCGCCUGGCUGAACCAUCCCUGGGCAGCGGCGCUGACGGGUACAGGGAGGCAGAGGCUUCAGUGGCCCAAGAGGUAGUUGGACAUGUCCCCGGAGUCUUUCCACUCCUUGCCAACCCAGGGUCCUUGCCAGGAACUCAUCUCCAAAGCCGCAGCUCUGCCCCUCCUAAUUAGCAACCACACGCACACCCAGUUACAUGCUGAAGUGAUUUACAGCAUUUUAUGGUCUGUGAUUUAGCACACCUAGACUUGACUAUCUCUAUUCUAAUUAAAUUAACAAAAAAUUAAGAGUGACAAAAUGGCAAAGAUUGAUUUAUCUAACGUGUGUCCUUGCUGCUUUGAUAGGUACAAAUUUCUUUUAAUUUUGAAUAACAAAAAGGGAAAUAUCAAGCACUUGAUCUACUUGUUCGCCAAAAAAUUAGCCACGGAUUCACAAAAGGCCCUCCACGGCCCACACAUCGACUCAUAUCGAUCAUCACACACAGUAUAGGGCCCACAGGGCAGUGGACAUGAAGAAGCUACCCAGGCACUCAGGAUUAGCGUCCAGGUGAGGUCUGCAGCCUUAGGGGGCCCUGGCCAGCUUGCUCCCCUUUCCUGCACCAGGCCAGCUGCCCCGGAAAGUUGGACUGGAACCAAGCCACUGAGCCACCGUGAAGCUGCGGCCACUUUCAAACCUCUGGCAGAAGCAGUAAGUACAAAUUGUGCUGCAGGUGGUGCUUUCAGAAUGGAGCCAACAGCCAUCUUUCGCUCCAUUCCCCCUUUUCCCACAUCCCUGGCACAGAAGCCUUCCCGUGGUAUUUCCUGCAAGAGAAGCCACAGCUUUCCCCUGCCACCUUUUCUUUCCCAGGGUGGAUCUAGCACUGGGAGUUGGAGCAGGGCGUGGCAGCCCAGUCCCGUCCUGUGUUUCAGUGGGAAGGGAGUUCCAUGCCCUUCUUUGCUCCAUUACAUGUAUGGGGCUCUGUGGUCACCUUUGGACUCUGCUCCCACUAUACCGGAAAAAUGGGGGCAGAUUCUCUGUUCUUCUCUGCACACACGCACCGAGGGUGUCAUUGGCACAUGGUGGGGACUCAAGAAUCCUCCACGAUCAUCAUCCUCAUCACCCUCAUCCUCCUUAUCAAAAUUAUCAUCAUCUCCAUCAUCCUCAUCCUCCUCCUCAUCAUCAUUAUCAUCUUCAACAACAUCAGCAGCACCAGCACCACCAUCACCAUCACCAUCAUCUUGUUCGACAGCAUCGACAGUAGCAGCAGCACCACUACCGUGACCAUGAUCACCACCAUCACCUCACCCCCAUCAUCCUGAGCUAGCACUUACAUGGAGCUCACUCUGUGCCAUAUGUUGUUCUAAGUGCCUUAUAUGUCGUAACGCAUUUUAAUGCUCUCAACAACCCUAUGAAGUAGAUAUCCUACGCCCAUUUUUACAGAUCAGAAGACUGAGGCACACAGAAGUUAACCUAACUUGUCCAAGGUUAGUUACUGGGCAGACAGCACCAGGGUUUUAACUGGUUUGAAUCUAACUGGCACCAGAGUCUGUAUUCCAGAUUGCUAUACUACACAUGUUAGAUGAGUGAGAAGGAGUAAAUGAAUAAUUAGGCGUCUGAGUAAGUGCACGGAGAAAUGUUCAGUGGGUGUCAAGGAGCCUUAGGGAAUAUAAAAUGCUUUUCUCACUAUUUAUAUUUGGCAACAAUGUCCGUCCUGGCCCUCCUUCUUCCUUUUCUGUGGCAAAGAUCUUAGUGUGUUGAUGGCGUAGGAAGCCCUGCAGGGUUAGGACCCACACUCUCCAUGUUGUGUCAGUGUACAAUUUCCAGGCAAGCAUGCCCUUGAUUUUUAUGAUCAUGUGAUUAUCUUACUUCUUCCCACAUAGAACGCUAAGCUCCACACAAGCAUGGAGAUGGUCUGGUUUUGUUCAUCAUUAUAUUCCCAGUGUUUAGCACAGUGCCUGGCACAUACUAGUUGCUCAGUAAAUAGAUACUGGUUGUAUAAAUAAAUGAACUCAUUGGCAAAAGGAAAGCAUUUUCUCAAAAUUUCCUAGACUCAACCUUUGAAGCUAUAGGAAUAUCUAUCUAUCUAUCUAUCUAUCUAUCUAUCUAUCUAUCUAUCUAUCAUCUAGGAAGCAAGUAUCUAUCUAGGCUAAGAAAUCACUGCAACAAAGAGGCAUGUGCUUAAUGUUUUAUGUCAAAUAUUGUUGUCCUUUUAUUCUUUUGCCUGCAGGAGGGCUCAUCAAUGUAUGGAGAAAUGAAAGAGCGCCGCAUUUCACAUUGGAGGGAUCUGGGUUUGAGUCCUUGGGCCAGCCUUGCUACAGUGGGGGCAAGAACACCAAUCACACUGGCUUAUCAUGGAAUUCAAAUGUGGCAGAGUAUGUAAACUAUGAAGUGUAGAAUAAAUUAAUUGGCUUGCCAAUUCCC
This is a long non-coding RNA of Pan troglodytes (chimpanzee), 6361 nucleotides long. RefSeq lists it as uncharacterized. NCBI's taxonomy places the organism in Eukaryota, Metazoa, Chordata, Mammalia, Primates, Hominidae. The transcript is spliced from 3 exons. The record is from RefSeq and is a predicted model, not a curated record.